AAGUCGUAACAAGGUUUCACCCUCUGCGGAAGCCUUGGCCCCCAGUCUACCGUGUGGUAGGCGACAUCAAUACUGUGCUUGAACGUCAGCCCUGACGACCAGCAGCUUUGCUCGUAAAGUCCACAGACCAAAUGUUGGUGGCCCACCUGUGGGUUCAGAUAUGCUCGGCCCGCACCUGGAAGGGUGCUGAGUUCGCGUUCCGUAGGUGAACCUGCGGAAGGAUCAUUACUGAGUUCUUGCCCUUACGGGUAGAUCUCCCACCCUAUGUCUACACACCUUUGUUGCUUUGGCGGGCAGCCCCUCACCAGGCUCUCGCUGGCUUCGGCCAGCGUCCCCGCCAGAGGACCCAAAACUCUGUUUUUAGUGUUGUCCGAGUACUAUAUAAUAAGUGAAAACUUUCAACAACGGAUCUCUUGGUUCUG
Molecule: unclassified non-coding RNA, 422 nt
Filed under: air metagenome
Description: partial contains small subunit ribosomal RNA, internal transcribed spacer 1, and 5.8S ribosomal RNA
Source: RNAcentral